AAGUCGUAACAAGGUCUCCGUUGGUGAACCAGCGGAGGGAUCAUUAAAAGAGCAUAAAACCCUCUUAAACCCGUGAACUUACCCUAUAGUUGCUUCGGUGGGCGGCCCCCUGGGAGGGGCCGUAGCUCGUGAGGGCGCUCGCCGGAUGCCCUAAACCAUUUUUUUCUUGGCAUUUCUGAGCCAAACUCAAUUGUUAAAA
Molecule: unclassified non-coding RNA, 199 nt
Filed under: plant metagenome
Description: partial contains small subunit ribosomal RNA and internal transcribed spacer 1
Rfam family: Eukaryotic small subunit ribosomal RNA (bases 1-46)
Source: RNAcentral